GUCAAAAGAACGCCGGCUAAAAACGACCCGUCCUGGGUCAACACCGGCAUGACCCAGUUCCU
This 62-nucleotide small RNA is filed under the name Oceanobacillus picturae. RNAcentral's name for it is "Bacillaceae-1 RNA". It matches the Rfam family "Bacillaceae-1 RNA". The record is from Rfam by way of RNAcentral. Lineage: Bacteria; Bacillati; Bacillota; Bacilli; Caryophanales; Bacillaceae.